CUGGUCACACUGUUCCUGUUCAAGCCUGGAGUGUGGAGCCAUGGGGAAAAUCCUCAGCAAAGUCCAGCGGAGUGGCUUCACUGUGGUGGGCCUGCAUGUGCUGGUUCUGGACAAUACCACAGCUGUGUCACUGGCAUCUGCUGCAGAGAAUCAGGCAACUCACUUAUUUAUACCUACCUAAACCAGGCCAGUGGACAGAUUGUUAUAUUGUUUUUAAUGCAUUGGCUCAACUCAGUUUUCCUCUUGUGUUUUCCUCUAGGACUCCUCUGCUGUAGAAGCCCAUGUCCAGUCCUUGAGCUUUGGGCCUUCCCUGGCUUUGUGCCUGCAGAGGGAGAAUGCUGUGAAGAAGCUACUGGACGUGCUGGGACCUGAGGACCCUGUCCAGGCCCGCGCUCAGGACCAAUUCCUCUGGAGGGCCUGUUACAGCUCAGACCAUCUACACAGCGGCAUCUAUGGAUCGAGGAGCUAUCAGAGAGCUGUUCAGGAUGUGAAGAGGCUGUUCCCUCAGGGCCUAUGCUGCACAGAGACCAACACCAUGAGACAGGAGCAGGUACAUCACAGUGCUACAAUAGACAUGAUUUACUAUUCCUAGAUGUAUAGCCGUCUCAUAUGCCCUGUGUUAAAUAAGGAACACAUUUUGUGUCUGUUGUCACUCACUGUUCUGUAUCACAGAUACCCAGUGUACACUCAGACCAUUUGGCUUGUCUGGCCAAAUGGUCAGACAAGCCAUCUUUAUCACACCUUAUGGCUUCUGGACUGAAUGGAGGUGAGGUCUAGUUUUGAAUGUUUUAGCCUAGCUGAAUCUUUGUUGUUGAAUCGCUUAUUUACUAGUUUUAUGUGGAUACAAAACGGGUCCCUUAAUCAUUUACUUUUUAUUGGGACGUUGCCUAUGAUUGGUCUGGGGCAACAGUUUUUAGUUGAUGUGGUAUCAACAGCAAUUGAACUUUGUAAACGUGGCCGUUUGUGUGUGGGUGGCAGCAGGGCCCUCGAUCCGCAGUGCUCUCUGCCAAACCACCUGCCUGCUGCUGCCCUCCAGUGUACUGGGCCCAGCCCCCAUCCACCUGGACCUGCUUGAGCAGCUGCUGAGGACAGGCUGCACCUGGUGGCCGGGAGGAUGAGUGCCCUGGACGAGAACCAGAGAUGUCACAUAGCUGAGACACUGAUGCUACCCUCUGAGGGAUGGGAAGGGCCUGAGGGCCCUUGUCUUAUCGUUGCUCUACAGAAAGAUAACACUGUGACCUGCUUUGACUCCAUGCUUGAAAGGUAAGGAAAUAGGCUACUCAAACAUGUACCGGUUAGUGUUUUGCAUUUAUUCUUCUUUGCAUCAUAAUGGAAUGCAUAGAUUAAUAUGCUAUGGUUUAUUUAUUUUGCACUAUAGUAUACCAAUCAGCAUUCAGGGCUGGA
Oncorhynchus mykiss (rainbow trout) is the source of this 1404-nucleotide long non-coding RNA. RefSeq lists it as uncharacterized. The record is from RefSeq and is a predicted model, not a curated record. NCBI's taxonomy places the organism in Eukaryota, Metazoa, Chordata, Actinopteri, Salmoniformes, Salmonidae.